ACAUGAGUUUUUAUAACAAAGUAGAUAAAUCUUUGUAGAAAGAAUAAUUUUACAUAAGAUUACAUUAAUUAUAAUUUGACAAAACAUUACUUUAAUUUUAAAAAUAGCAAAACAUGAGUUUUUAUUUUAUCUCAAAACAUAAAUAUGAGACCUUUUAUUAAGUAGUAGUAAUUUUUAAAAAUAAUUAUGAGAAUGUGUCAAAGAAAAGAAAGAAAGAAAAAAUAGAAAUUUUAUUAAGUAAUUUUUAAAAUAUUUUUGGAGGCAGUGGUACUGUCCAUUCUUAUUCCAAUUCCAACAAAUUGAGUAACUCUUGUAUUGUAAGCAAUUACUCCAAUAGUAUUUUUCCCUUUUUCUAACGAACUCCAAUCCACUACUAGCCGAUCAUCAUAUAACCGCCUCCACUCACUCCAAUCCACUGCAAUCCACUAUUUCACAUGUUCAUCUUCUUCUCAUUCAUUCUUCAACAACCUACACUGCGAUUUCCGUUUCUUCUUUCGCGAUGAAUCGCUUAAAGGACAUUUUCCGCCACAUAUCCAAAUCCAAUAUCAACAUGCUUCUUGAUUUUCACUCAAACAUUCUUCAAAACCCUAACACUAUUACUCUAUCUCGCCGAUUUGGAACCCAACUCGAUCAUCAAUUGAACA
This 644-nucleotide long non-coding RNA is filed under the name Trifolium pratense (red clover). RNAcentral's name for it is "long non-coding RNA (TPRA_LNC009936)". The record is from RNAcentral. Lineage: Eukaryota; Viridiplantae; Streptophyta; Magnoliopsida; Fabales; Fabaceae.